RNAcentral lists this ribosomal RNA (499 nucleotides) under uncultured bacterium. Its description in RNAcentral is "bacterial SSU rRNA". It matches the Rfam family "Bacterial small subunit ribosomal RNA", at positions 28 to 520 of the family's 1533-position model. The record is from RNAcentral.
AAUGAACGUUGGCGGCGUGGAUUAGGCAUGCAAGUCGAGCGAGAACCAGUCUUCGGACUGGGGAGAGCGGCGAACGGGGUAGGAAUACCUCGGUGACGUACCCCUCGGUCGGGGAUAGCGGCGGGAAACUGCCGGUAAUACCCGAUAACCUGUCUUGAUUUUAUGUUUGGGACAGCAAAGGUGUGAUUCCGUCGGGGGAGCGGCUGAGGUCGUAUUAGCUAGUUGGUAAGGUAACGGCUUACCAAGGCGAUGAUGCGUAGGGGGUGUGAGAGCAUGGCCCCCACCACUGGCACUGAGACACUGGCCAGACACCUACGGGUGGCUGCAGUCGAGAAUCUUCGGCAAUGGGCGCAAGCCUGACCGAGCGACGCCGCGUGCGGGAUGAAGGUCUUCGGAUUGUAAACCGCUGUCGGAGGGGAUGAAGUGCACCAGAGCAAUCUCUGGUGUUUGACAGAGCCUCGGAGGAAGCACGGGCUAAGUUCGUGCCAGCAGCCGACGG